RNAcentral lists this ribosomal RNA (754 nucleotides) under Collaria arcyrionema. RNAcentral's name for it is "partial small subunit ribosomal RNA". It matches the Rfam family "Eukaryotic small subunit ribosomal RNA", at positions 5 to 520 of the family's 1831-position model. The record is from RNAcentral. Lineage: Eukaryota; Evosea; Eumycetozoa; Stemonitida; Stemonitidae.
UGGUUGAUCCUGCCAGUAGUGUAUGCUUACUCCCAAGACUAAGCCAUGCAUGCCUCGAAUAAGAAUGCAGCUAUUCUCUGAAUCUGCGUACGGCUCCGAAAACCAGUUGUAAAUUGUUGCGAGCCCUGUCCGUCUUGUCUUCGGUUUUGGGUACAGGUUUCGGGCUCACGGGUCGCGCAUUCCUGUUUCCCUCUUCAGGCUGUACGUAGGCGGGCGAUAUGGAUAACCCCGGUAAUUCUGGGGCUAAUACAUGACUUGUGAAUCGCCAACAGCGCUCAGUCCCCAUUUGUUCUUUUUGCUCAGAGGCGACUAGUGACACAGGAAGCCUGAAGGCGGCGUGGGUACUCAUUUGGCCCCCAGAUGAUAGGAGUAAGGGUACUAUUUCCUCGGACCACAGCCCGAGUUUACUCGGGAAGAGCUGUCGCCCCGGCGGUUCUCUUUUUCUCCCCUGCCAGCCCAGCUCAGGGACCCCCCCUAGGUAAGGCUCAGGUGGAGAAUUCCCCCGCUGGCGAAUCGUCGGCUUUGUGGCUCUCGCGGGGUGCUUCUGACCUAUCAACUAGAUGGUAGCAUACGGGACAUGCAAUGGUUACAACGGGUACAGAGGAUAAGGGUUCGAUCCUGGAGAGUGAGCCUGAGAGAUUGCUCAUACUUCUAAGGAAGGCAGCAGGCGCGCAACGUUCCCCUUGGGCGCUAGCUCGAGGGCGUUAGGGAGAAUAGUAAUACUUGCCUAUAUGGUGAGUAAUUACAAUGGGAC